CAACAAGUAGUUUAUUAUAUUAAGAAUAUUAAUUUUGGGUAUUAGAGGUGUAGUUGUUUUCUAUUUUGUUGA
This 72-nucleotide transfer RNA is filed under the name Nesophrosyne makaihe. Its description in RNAcentral is "tRNA-Pro". Lineage: Eukaryota; Metazoa; Arthropoda; Insecta; Hemiptera; Cicadellidae. The record is from RNAcentral.